UUGGGUGAAUUAAGAGAUAUCUCAUACAUACAUGAUAGCAAUUCAUACAGAAGCAUUCGGAGAUAACCAAAAUGAAAAUGGAAAGGGAUAUUGGAGUUUUAGGGUUUGUAGAGGGCUAUAAUUACCUGUCUGAUAACAGACCUUGGAAAGCUGGAGUGGCUCAACCUGGGAGGUCUGAGGGUGACACAGAACAUUUAGAGAAGAGUAUGCCGGCUGUGUGCAUAGAGGAUACGUUCUGGGACCAUAUUGAUAUUUGAAAACUAGUUUCAAGUGAUGGACUAUCUGAUCAGAAAGAAAUUCUUAAAGAAAGCCAUCCAUAAAUUCUACCUAAAAGGCAAUUGCUUCUUCCAGAAAUGCUGAACACAAAAAAUGGUUGCCUAGUCUAUUGUCUGAUCAUUAUUUAGGAGUUCCCAUGGACAAAAUUCACACCUGGAAUCCUUCGAAGAUGAUGGCAGUGGUUAGGCUAUUGGACUAGGACUGUGAAAAGACCAGGUCUACCAGCUUGAUUACUUUUGAAGAAAUGCAGAAAAACAACAGUGAUUUUCCUGAGAAUCAGAAGAAAGACAAGAAAAUGUGUGGCAUCCAACAAACACCAUGUGUGCACAUGAAAACUGAGAAUAUUAGAUGCAAUGCUUUGUAGCGGUUCAUAGUGCUCAAAAUUAUUCUAUCACAUUCAUGUUUGGUUGAUUUCUUGCCUGAAUAUAGGAGAUGCUGUUUCCUCUGAGUUUGGCGGCUAUCAUUCUGUUGUUGGAGGAAAUAAUCACAACAUGUCCUCUCACAAAAAGUCUCUAUUGAUGACCAAAGGGAUGUCCUUUGAUGGUUGCUAAGGAGUUUUGUUUAGGCCAACAUGGUUGCAACCAGGAAGCUGCCCCAUAUGCCAAGCCAGAACACUGGUUCAUCUUGCUCAGUGUUGUUGAUGCUGAAUGGCAGUGUGAUUUUAGAGAAUCUAGAGAGGAAUUGAAACUAGGUCCUUUUCCAUGCAAAGCAUGUGCUCUCCAACUGAUAUUUAGACCUUCCCUGAACUGAUACUCUUUAUUUCUUCUAAAUAUAUAACCAUUCCCAGCCUUAGGCAUUUUUAUGUGUGAUUAAAGAGAUAAGGAAAACACCAUUAUUCUACUGGUGGAAGGGUUUUUGUUUAUUUGUUUGUUUUUAAAUAAAUAAAAGAGAUAGAGAUUAGAAGCAAGCAAGUGUGAUCUUCCCAACAAAGUAUCAGUCAAAGUAUUUGUAUUAUUUCAGACAAGUUGGAGCAGAUUCAGAGAAGGGAACAAGGAUGAUAAGAAGUAUGGAAAACUAAGUACAGUCAGCCCUUCUUAUACAUGGAUUACUUAUGCAUGGAUUCAAGCAUCCAUGGUUUGA
Long non-coding RNA from Sceloporus undulatus (fence lizard), 1356 nucleotides. RefSeq lists it as uncharacterized. The transcript is spliced from 5 exons. NCBI's taxonomy places the organism in Eukaryota, Metazoa, Chordata, Lepidosauria, Squamata, Phrynosomatidae. The record is from RefSeq and is a predicted model, not a curated record.